AAGCCCCGGCAGAGAUUAUUCUGCUCUUUAAAAUUUGCAAUUUUAUGUGCUGCACACCACAGAGCC
This 66-nucleotide transfer RNA is filed under the name Cryptobranchus alleganiensis (hellbender). RNAcentral describes it as "tRNA-Cys". Lineage: Eukaryota; Metazoa; Chordata; Amphibia; Caudata; Cryptobranchidae. The record is from RNAcentral.